UACGGAGGUGGCAAGCGUUGUUCGGAAUUACUGGGCGUAAAGGGCGCGUAGGCGGCAUGGCAAGUCAGAUGUGAAAGCCCCGGGCUCAACUCGGGAAUUGCAUCUGAAACUGCUUUGCUUGAGUCCUGGAGGGGGUAGUGGAAUUCCCAGUGUAGCGGUGAAAUGCGUAGAUAUUGGGAGGAACACCGGUGGCGAAGGCGGCUACCUGGACAGUGACUGACGCUGAGGUGCGAAAGCGUGGGGAGCAAAC
Molecule: ribosomal RNA, 250 nt
Filed under: uncultured bacterium
Lineage: Bacteria
Description: partial 16S ribosomal RNA
Rfam family: Bacterial small subunit ribosomal RNA
Source: RNAcentral